GUACUGUGGCCCUGAUAGAGUGACUGCAAAGCAACAAAUGCAGGAGUUAGACAGAGUCACAAAAACUCUAUCAGAGAAUAUACCUUCAUCUGUGAAGAGGUUCACUGAUCGUGCCGUUCUUUCACUUCAAGUUUUCUUUUUUCAACUUAGUUUAGAUUCCUGUAAAUCUUAUAACGUGUCAUUCUCUGAAAUGGAAAACACUAAAUAUGGCAAACUGGAAUAUUUAAACAGGCCUUUGAGUGUUGACUUGGAAAUGGAAAUGAAUGUAAUUAUUUUG
Molecule: long non-coding RNA, 277 nt
Organism: Asparagus officinalis (garden asparagus)
Lineage: Eukaryota; Viridiplantae; Streptophyta; Magnoliopsida; Asparagales; Asparagaceae
Exons: 2
Source: RefSeq, a predicted model, not a curated record